Molecule: ribosomal RNA, 1552 nt
Filed under: Salmonella enterica subsp. enterica serovar Paratyphi A
Lineage: Bacteria; Pseudomonadati; Pseudomonadota; Gammaproteobacteria; Enterobacterales; Enterobacteriaceae
Description: bacterial SSU rRNA
Rfam family: Bacterial small subunit ribosomal RNA
Source: RNAcentral
AAAUUGAAGAGUUUGAUCAUGGCUCAGAUUGAACGCUGGCGGCAGGCCUAACACAUGCAAGUCGAACGGUAACAGGAAGCAGCUUGCUGCUUUGCUGACGAGUGGCGGACGGGUGAGUAAUGUCUGGGAAACUGCCUGAUGGAGGGGGAUAACUACUGGAAACGGUGGCUAAUACCGCAUAACGUCGCAAGACCAAAGAGGGGGACCUUCGGGCCUCUUGCCAUCAGAUGUGCCCAGAUGGGAUUAGCUUGUUGGUGAGGUAACGGCUCACCAAGGCGACGAUCCCUAGCUGGUCUGAGAGGAUGACCAGCCACACUGGAACUGAGACACGGUCCAGACUCCUACGGGAGGCAGCAGUGGGGAAUAUUGCACAAUGGGCGCAAGCCUGAUGCAGCCAUGCCGCGUGUAUGAAGAAGGCCUUCGGGUUGUAAAGUACUUUCAGCGGGGAGGAAGGUGUUGUGGUUAAUAACCGCAGCAAUUGACGUUACCCGCAGAAGAAGCACCGGCUAACUCCGUGCCAGCAGCCGCGGUAAUACGGAGGGUGCAAGCGUUAAUCGGAAUUACUGGGCGUAAAGCGCACGCAGGCGGUCUGUCAAGUCGGAUGUGAAAUCCCCGGGCUCAACCUGGGAACUGCAUUCGAAACUGGCAGGCUUGAGUCUUGUAGAGGGGGGUAGAAUUCCAGGUGUAGCGGUGAAAUGCGUAGAGAUCUGGAGGAAUACCGGUGGCGAAGGCGGCCCCCUGGACAAAGACUGACGCUCAGGUGCGAAAGCGUGGGGAGCAAACAGGAUUAGAUACCCUGGUAGUCCACGCCGUAAACGAUGUCUACUUGGAGGUUGUGCCCUUGAGGCGUGGCUUCCGGAGCUAACGCGUUAAGUAGACCGCCUGGGGAGUACGGCCGCAAGGUUAAAACUCAAAUGAAUUGACGGGGGCCCGCACAAGCGGUGGAGCAUGUGGUUUAAUUCGAUGCAACGCGAAGAACCUUACCUGGUCUUGACAUCCACGGAAGUUUUCAGAGAUGAGAAUGUGCCUUCGGGAACCGUGAGACAGGUGCUGCAUGGCUGUCGUCAGCUCGUGUUGUGAAAUGUUGGGUUAAGUCCCGCAACGAGCGCAACCCUUAUCCUUUGUUGCCAGCGGUCCGGCCGGGAACUCAAAGGAGACUGCCAGUGAUAAACUGGAGGAAGGUGGGGAUGACGUCAAGUCAUCAUGGCCCUUACGACCAGGGCUACACACGUGCUACAAUGGCGCAUACAAAGAGAAGCGACCUCGCGAGAGCAAGCGGACCUCAUAAAGUGCGUCGUAGUCCGGAUUGGAGUCUGCAACUCGACUCCAUGAAGUCGGAAUCGCUAGUAAUCGUGGAUCAGAAUGUCACGGUGAAUACGUUCCCGGGCCUUGUACACACCGCCCGUCACACCAUGGGAGUGGGUUGCAAAAGAAGUAGGUAGCUUAACCUUCGGGAGGGCGCUUACCACUUUGUGAUUCAUGACUGGGGUGAAGUCGUAACAAGGUAACCGUAGGGGAACCUGCGGUUGGAUCACCUCCUUACCUUAAAGAA